AGAUGUGAGGGUGAUCUGGCUGCGGCAUCUGUCACCCACUGAUCGUCAGGGUUGAUCUGGCUGAUCUGGCUGGCUGGGCAGGUGUCCCCUUUCUCCCUCACUACUCUGUGUGCAUCCCUCCCGAAGCUGCGUGCUUGGUCAAAGAGGACGACCUUCUCCGAAUAGAGGAGGACCCAUCAAGGGUAUACAAGUAGCUGCGCUCCCCUGCUAGAACCUCCAAACAAGCUCCCAAGAAUUAAAGAAGCCAGGCGUGGUGGCGCACACCUUUAAUCUCAGCACUCAGAAGGCAGAGGUAGGAGGAUCACUG
RNAcentral lists this small nuclear RNA (307 nucleotides) under Jaculus jaculus (lesser Egyptian jerboa). RNAcentral describes it as "7SK RNA (ENSJJAG00000003470.1)". It matches the Rfam family "7SK RNA". Rfam says of the family: 7SK was discovered as an abundant small nuclear RNA in the mid-70s but a possible function has only recently been suggested. Two independent studies have found that 7SK RNA binds the CDK9/cyclin T complex (known as elongation factor P-TEFb). P-TEFb activates transcription by phosphorylating the C-terminal domain of RNA polymerase II. The record is from RNAcentral. Lineage: Eukaryota; Metazoa; Chordata; Mammalia; Rodentia; Dipodidae.